This 83-nucleotide transfer RNA is filed under the name Candidatus Aenigmatarchaeota archaeon. Its description in RNAcentral is "tRNA-Ser". It matches the Rfam family "tRNA". From Rfam's summary of the family: Transfer RNA (tRNA) molecules are approximately 80 nucleotides in length. Their secondary structure includes four short double-helical elements and three loops (D, anti-codon, and T loops). The record is from RNAcentral. Lineage: Archaea; Nanobdellati; Candidatus Aenigmatarchaeota.
GCCGGGGUAGCCAAGUGGUUAAGGCGCCGACCUGCUAAGUCGGUGGGCUUAUGCCCGCGUGGGUUCAAAUCCCACCCCCGGCG